GAUUAUCUUCCCUUGAAAAGCAUGGUGGGUCAGGAUGGCCUAUAGUGUCUUGCUUGACCUGAUGAGUAAGAACUAGUACAAUGUAUGAACCAGAUGGAUUCUCUUCAAAGGACUCAUUUGAGUCCCAAUUUGUAAAUUCAAGAUUGAUGGCCAAGGAGAUCGGAACACCAAGAGAUUAAGGCAGCACUUCUGUCAAAGUUGCAAAUCAAAUGAAGGCAUGCAAAUAUAAAAAAGCAACCAACACAGAUGAACAAAUGGAUUUCAUAGACUCAUAGAGUUGGAAGAGACUAUAUGGGCCAUCCAGUCCAACCCUCUUCUGCUAUGCAGGAAAAGUACAAUCAAAUAUCUCCCGAGAGAUGGCUAUCAAGCCUCUGUUUAAAAACCUCCAAUGAAGAAGCUUCCACCAGAUUCUGAGACAGAGAGUUCCUCUACUGAACAGCUCUUCUUAUGGUCAGGAUGUUCUUCCCAAUAUUCAAGUCCACGCAGCCUUAAGGUGGGACAAAGCAGGAGAAAGACGGGCACGGCUAGCCAUCCCACAAGAUGGGGAAAGACGGGAGGAAACGGGGCAAGACGGUUCCUCCCACUUUCCCCUGCUCCAUCUGAUGAAGUCCUUAAGACUCUUUCCCAUCAACGCUCUCCAGCCUCUAGGACACAGUGGGCAAUGGUGGUGGGACCCAAUUUCUGCCCCUGCAGUAGGCUACAUCCCUACUUUAUCAACUGAAAAUCAGCCACAAAUUCAACCAGGAGUCACUUACAGGUCUGCUCCAGUUGGGCCCAACAAUAGGAUUCGUGCCCAUGACCGAUGCUCCUCUCCAGCCUGCAGCAGUUAGAAUGUUGAUGAACAUUUCAUGACCUCACACCCAUUUAGCAAAUUGACAGUGCAGAAUAUGUUUUAUAGAGAAGCACAGACAUAGACAACUAUAUGUGUGUGUGUAUUCUCCACCAUAAACUUCGCUGGACCAAAUGUUCUGUUUUCCGAAUACCCGAUCACCAUCUCCCAAAGCAGUUAUUUUACUCUCAGCACAAGAAUGGAAAAUGGAAUGUUUAAAGCCAGGCUUAAAGCUAACCUUUACAAAUGUGGAAUAAACACCAAGAAAGAACUGGGGAGUCCUGGCCCUCAAGCAUCUAACUGGAGGUCAGCUGCUACCAACAGAGCUAUGGACUUUGAGGAGGUACAAAUGGAGGGCGAAAGACAGAAACGUGCUAAGAGGAAGAAGGCGCGUCAAGCCAACCCUUGCCAGGACCACCUUCAAUCUGGAAAUUGAUAUCCUUACCGCAAAAUAUCAUGCGGGUCCAAAAUAGGUCUCUACAGUCACUGCCAGACCCACCACCAAGACUACCUUUGGAAGACAAUAAGACAUGACCAUGAGUGAUCGCCCAGGACAAGAUAUAUAAAUAUACAGAGACAUAUUGGGACCAUG
Long non-coding RNA from Anolis carolinensis (green anole), 1421 nucleotides. RefSeq lists it as uncharacterized. Lineage: Eukaryota; Metazoa; Chordata; Lepidosauria; Squamata; Anolidae. The transcript has 2 exons. The record is from RefSeq and is a predicted model, not a curated record.